Solanum dulcamara is the source of this 100-nucleotide small nuclear RNA. The record is from RefSeq and is a predicted model, not a curated record. NCBI's taxonomy places the organism in Eukaryota, Viridiplantae, Streptophyta, Magnoliopsida, Solanales, Solanaceae.
GUCCCUUCGGGGACAUCAGAUAAAUUGGAAGGAUACAGAGAAGAUUAGCAUGCACAAUGAUGACAAACAAAUUCAGUAUGUAACUAAUAACUGGAUUUUU